CCUACGGGAGGCAGCAGUGGGGAAUAUUGGACAAUGGGCGCAAGCCUGAUCCAGCCAUGCCGCGUGAGUGAUGAAGGCCUUAGGGUUGUAAAGCUCUUUCAGUAGGGACGAUAAUGACGGUACCUACAGAAGAAGCCCCGGCUAACUUCGUGCCAGCAGCCGCGGUAAUACGAAGGGGGCUAGCGUUGUUCGGAUUUACUGGGCGUAAAGCGCACGUAGGCGGAUCGUUAAGUCGGGGGUGAAAUCCUGGAGCUCAACUCCAGAACUGCCUUCGAUACUGGCGAUCUUGAGUCCGGAAGAGGUGAGUGGAACUCCUAGUGUAGAGGUGGAAUUCGUAGAUAUUAGGAAGAACACCAGUGGCGAAGGCGGCUCACUGGUCCGGUACUGACGCUGAGGUGCGAAAGCGUGGGGAGCAAACAGGAUUAGAUACCCAGGUAGUCCACGCCGUAAACUAUGAGAGCUAGCCGUUGGGAGAUUUAUCUCUCAGUGGCGCAGCUAACGCAUUAAGCUCUCCGCCUGGGGAGUACGGUCGCAAGAUUAAAACUCAAAGGAAUUGACGG
This 560-nucleotide ribosomal RNA is filed under the name uncultured bacterium. RNAcentral's name for it is "bacterial SSU rRNA". It matches the Rfam family "Bacterial small subunit ribosomal RNA", at positions 338 to 916 of the family's 1533-position model. The record is from RNAcentral.